Molecule: long non-coding RNA, 1203 nt
Organism: Hirundo rustica (Barn swallow)
Lineage: Eukaryota; Metazoa; Chordata; Aves; Passeriformes; Hirundinidae
Exons: 5
Source: RefSeq, a predicted model, not a curated record
AGGUUGGUUUGAGUAAUUUUUGAACCUGAAACUACUUCCUAGAACUGUUCCUUGGAAAUUUUCUGUUUCUUGAUUCAGAAUAAAGUUUUCUUCACUAAUUUGAGCCAUUAAUAGGGAAAAAAAUAAUUAAUUAUCAAAACUGCUGAAAUGAAAUAUUUGAAUCAUCCAAAUUAUGCUGGCUUGAUUCAUUGGUUUGCAAGCAUUCUUGAGAUGUGUUACUGUUUCAGGGAGGGAUUUAUUUGUUAGUUUGAGGGUUUUUGAUUGCCAUUCAGCUUCUCAGUUUUACUACACAUAAACACGCCUUCUAUCCUAUUGCUUAUAUGGAUAAGCAAUGCAUGGAGCAAGAAAUUAAUCUGACUACACCAUUCUGGACCUCUUGACUUUUAAAGAGAGUUGGGAUUUAGACAGACCGUAGAAGGAAUUGCUGUAUUCAAGAUGUGAAGCGAUUAAGAUGUGAACAAGGAUUUCAGCAGAAACAAGGUCAAGGUUAAGCAUCCUCACUGAUUACCACCGCCCCAUUUAAACAGGAGGGAGGCAACCUCUUCACAAGCAGAACGCCACUGAGGGCUCUUGGGGUGGAUGCAGUCACCGUGUUGAUGAGAGGCAACGUCGGCAGCACCAAGUUACUCUUUCAUGUGUUAUCAAGCAUGUUCCAUCCUGAGUCUUGUCAACAGGGGCAGAAAGCUUGUAUAGUCCCACCAAAACAAGCAGCUAUGCAAGAUUGCUUUCCAGCUUCAAACUGUGAUGUGUGGAGGAAAUAAAUUCCUGAUGUGUUGCUGGUUCAAAUCACUGGCCUCCAAGAAUCCUGUAGCUGGAAAUGUUGAAGACAGAAAUCUCUAAUGGGUCAUUUUGGACAGCCUCCCGCCAGGAUAUGAUUAAUCCCUCCAGAGCUAUGUUAGUGCUUGAUGAACAGCAAUGCUAUCUACAAGUGAGCGAUGUUGACCACAAACACAGAUGAGCAGAAAGAAGACACUGGUGCCUGUGGUCAACAGAUACCCUCCUCUGUAGCCUCUGCUUUUAUUCUGUGUCAUCUUUAAUUUUAUUCCUCAUGUUGGAUAGACAGGAAAAGAAAGGAUUUUUUGAAAUAGUCCAUAAGAGACCAAAGUCCCUAAUUUAUCAAUUUGCGUUGGUUUCAUUGUAUUUGCUUCUCAGAUAUCUGCAUGUUUUUCCUAGUGUGUUGUGGGCUUUUUUUCUUUGAGUGUA